RNAcentral lists this non-coding RNA (30 nucleotides) under Rattus norvegicus (Norway rat). Lineage: Eukaryota; Metazoa; Chordata; Mammalia; Rodentia; Muridae. The record is from RNAcentral.
UGGAACUACGGUGAAACUGCAAAUUGCCAU